This 523-nucleotide ribosomal RNA is filed under the name Leuciscus leuciscus (common dace). RNAcentral's name for it is "partial 16S ribosomal RNA". It matches the Rfam family "Bacterial large subunit ribosomal RNA", at positions 1930 to 2606 of the family's 2925-position model. The record is from RNAcentral. Lineage: Eukaryota; Metazoa; Chordata; Actinopteri; Cypriniformes; Leuciscidae.
GCCGCGGUAUUUUGACCGUGCAAAGGUAGCGCAAUCACUUGUCUCUUAAAUAGAGACCUGUAUGAAUGGCUAGACGAGGGCUUAACUGUCUCCCCCUUCCAGUCAGUGAAAUUGAUCUAUCCGUGCAGAAGCGGGUAUAAUUAUACAAGACGAGAAGACCCUUUGGAGCUUAAGGUACAAGGUUCAACCACGUUAAACGACUCCACGAAAAGCAAGAACUUAGUGGCGAAUGAAACUUUACCUUCGGUUGGGGCGACCACGGAGGAGAAGAGAGCCUCCGAGUGGACUGGGCUAAUCCCCAAAGCCAAGAGAUACAUCUAUAAGCCGCAGAACAUCUGACCAAGAAUGAUCCGACUGAAAAGCCGAUCAACGAACCAAGUUACCCUAGGGAUAACAGCGCAAUCCUCUCCCAGAGUCCAUAUCGACGAGGGGGUUUACGACCUCGAUGUUGGAUCAGGACAUCCUAAUGGUGCAGCCGCUAUUAAGGGUUCGUUUGUUCAACGAUUAAAGUCCUACGUGAUCU